Molecule: ribosomal RNA, 333 nt
Filed under: uncultured eukaryote
Lineage: Eukaryota
Description: partial 18S ribosomal RNA
Rfam family: Eukaryotic small subunit ribosomal RNA
Source: RNAcentral
CCCUUAGAUGUUCUGGGCCGCACGCGCGCUACACUGACGAAUGCAACGAGCUUAUAACCUUGGCCGAAAGGUCUGGGUAAUCUCCAAAUUUCGUCGUGAUGGGGAUAGAUUAUUGCAAUUAUUAAUCUUCAACGAGGAAUGCCUAGUAAGCGCAAGUCAUCAGCUUGCGUUGAUUACGUCCCUGCCCUUUGUACACACCGCCCGUCGCUACUACCGAUUGGAUGGCUUAGUGAGACCUUUGGACUGGACCGCCUUCCGGGGGUUUCGGCCCCUUUUGGCGAGGCUGGGAAGAAGGUCGAACUGGACUGUCUAGAGGAAGUAAAAGUCGUAACA